UCCUGAUCUGCCCAAGCCAGCGUCUUGAUCCCCGCGCCCAGGGAGAUGGGUCUGUGCCUUCACUGCCUCUGAACCCUUUGUUUCAUCAACAGGAUCUUUUCUGCACAUGUGGCACUGAGAGCCCCUUCCCAUAUGGACAGCGGCUGAACAGAAGUGAUUGGGAGCUGCAUGGCCCCCUUAGGAAGACGGAAAGUGCAGCAAUCUGGAAGGAACCUGGAGUUUGGAGUCAGGUAACUGACUUUGAGAGUUGGCUCCUCCAGCUGUGUGACCCUGGGUCACAAAAAUGGCCAAGGAGGUGGUCCUGAAGUUCUGACAGUUUCCUCAGUGGGAGAUGCGCACUCUGGGCGAUCACACAGACAGCACGGAGAACCCCGGGGGCCUGUGUGAAUGACGGGGUCUGCGCAGAGAGAGCAAGGUGCCACGAGGGUGAGAAUGAGAGAGAGAGACGGUGAUGCUCUGCUGCCCAUUUGACACACGAUCCUGGAGAACCUACUGAACGCCGGGCACCCAGGAGCGCCACCCAGAAGGCCGGCCUUAUGACUGGCUCCCAGGAGAAAGGCAGCCCCCCGGGAGGACCCUUCCUAGUAGCCGGUUCCCGGAGGAGGGGUGACGUAUCAACUCACCAGAUCAGUGUUUACUCCCCAGGAGUCCUGGGCAUUUUAGCACUGGAUGAUGAGCCCCUGAGGGCAGACGCAGGUGUUCCUCUGUUUGGAGCUCCACAUCUCGGAUCAGGCAUGGACCAAGAGAUGUGACAGUUGUAACUUGUAACAGCUCCGUGUGGAGCUGGGUUUGCAGGUCUCACGGCAGGCACCUCUGAGCCCCAGGUGAAGUGUACACUGCUCCCAAGCUCUCGUUUUCCCCGGUCCUGGAAGUUACCACAUGAGGAUGAAUAAGGAAGACUCAAAAUGUAGUGAAGGAGACCAGUCACCUACCACCAUGGGAGCCCAGCUGACUAUCUGUGAACAUAUGACUGAAGGACCUCUCCCCCCUGCAUGGCCGGGGCGUCCUUCAGAGAGGAUGACUGGGGAGGGGUUAAUGACAGGGGGAAGCCUGGGCUACCAGAAGGGAAGAGCUGCACGGUACCUCUGAAGAGGGGGACUGGGGGAACACAUUGGUCUCCCAGCAUCCUGGGCACAUGGCACCUGGUGCGGGGGAAGACCUGUCCUUACAGGGAAGGUCAGGUCACAAAUAUUUAACUUGUUGACUGGAGCUCAUUGAUGGGCGCGUGAGGGCUCAUUAUACUACCUCUGUCUAUUUUUGUGUAGAUGACAUUUGCCAAAGUAAAGGAAAGAAGAAGAGAGAGAGAAGAAAGAAAGAUCAACGCAUGUCAUGCUUCCCAUACUACUUGCUGAUUACAAGCUGACUACCCCCCUUCCUGCUGGUAAAGGCGGCUCUGAUCCUGGCCACGUGGUUCUGGCUUACUUGGUGAUCGUUUUGCCCUUUGCAAAUUAAGAAUGUGGCAUUCAAGUUUGGAUGAGCACUGCCCCAAGUGUGGUAUGGGGAUCAGAGGCUACGUGUGAACUGUUUGUUACCAGAAUACAAGGUAAUCGAGGGUAAAUAAUUUAGAAACUUCUGUAGCCAAUGACUUUGCCCUGCCGUCCAAGCUCAGGGUCAGUGGAUGGGUCUCGUGAACAGGGCUUGAGGGUAGUCAGAUUCGAGUGGUGAAUGUCAUGUGGUGUGAACUGGGGCUUGAUCACACACGGUAGGACCAAACAUCAGACCAUGAUGGAGGGGAUUUUUUUUUCAAGUGAUAUCUCACAACAUAUGGCUUGAAUCCUUGGGACUUUCGACGGCGUCAGUCAGUCCUUUAGAAUCUCGUCGUGGAGAGCCCUAACAAGAAAUUUCUAGACCUGCAAGAAUAAGACCCCCUGCAAGGACCCUGGUUUGAAUUGCGGAUCUCCCUACGGGGGCCUGCCUGGUCCACCUGCCCAGCCUCCCUGCCGUACCCUCACCCAUCCUCACCCAGUUUGUCGAAAAGCAACAGAUGCAAAGAGCCUGCAAGGGCAGGACAGUUUCACGGGCUAAGCCAGAUCCCCGCUCUCCCUUUUUUCAAAUUAAAAUGGAGAUGUGCUUCAGCUGCCUCUCCCACAUCCCUCUUCCUGGGAGGACCUGGAGGGGUCCUCAGGAGGGGGACAGAGGGGCACUCAGGAGCCCCACACAAGCUGUCGAGGCUGUUCUGGAAGUGGGUAAUCUCUGAAAGGGUGAUUUAGAGCUCAGCGUGGCAGGGCUGGAGGCAGCGAGGUAGCUGUUCCCCACGGCGCUCAUUAAGUUUCCAUAGAUUGCAUUUCCUGCCUCCCCCCCCCCCCGCUAGCCCUCCAAAGUGCCUGUUACUAAUUCAUAAAAACACUGCAAGCGUGAUCGAGUCCGCUGAUUACUGGAGCAGGCAGACACAAGAGACGGUAAAAUGUUCCGUGUCUCUCUAUCAGGCUCUCAGGGGCUCAGGAGGAAGAAAAAAUUAAAAAAGAGAAAAACAACAACAUGAAGAAAGGAAUAUGAAAAAAAAAAAAAACUGUGUUGUGAAAUAUUAAUCAGAGCUGUUUGCCCCCGGGGGCCAAAAAUAUGAGGCAGCAUAAUCAAUGUAGCAAGAGCUGCCCAGCAACAUGUCUUUGAGAAGCUGAUUAUUGCGGGUAAACACAGCUAAAUAUUCUGAAUCUUUGGA
Molecule: long non-coding RNA, 2659 nt
Organism: Lagenorhynchus albirostris (white-beaked dolphin)
Lineage: Eukaryota; Metazoa; Chordata; Mammalia; Artiodactyla; Delphinidae
Exons: 6
Source: RefSeq, a predicted model, not a curated record